Molecule: transfer RNA, 67 nt
Filed under: Marmota monax (woodchuck)
Lineage: Eukaryota; Metazoa; Chordata; Mammalia; Rodentia; Sciuridae
Rfam family: tRNA
About the family: Transfer RNA (tRNA) molecules are approximately 80 nucleotides in length.
Source: Rfam by way of RNAcentral
GGUUGUGGCUCAGUGGUAGAGUGCUUGCCUAGCAUGCAUGAGGCUCUAGGUUUGAUCCUCAGCACCA